Molecule: unclassified non-coding RNA, 897 nt
Filed under: Hevea brasiliensis (rubber tree)
Lineage: Eukaryota; Viridiplantae; Streptophyta; Magnoliopsida; Malpighiales; Euphorbiaceae
Source: RNAcentral
AUUGUUGUCUGUUCUACAUUGACUUAAAAAUCAGUGAACUUUUCAAUACAGAUCAAGGUGUGGAGACCCCUUUUCAUCAACAAAGCAACAAGACAAAAAAUUAUGAGAUUUACACCUUUUGCUCCCUUCCUCUUCUAGGAUCUAUACAUAAAAGGGGGAUGGAGGCUCCUUUAGUAGUAUACAUGUACUCUGAUUCUAGUCAAGUUAAUAGGAAGUUGGUUAGAAAUAAGUGCCCAUACAGCCAAACCUGCGAUCACCAUUGAUCAAGAAUCAUAAAAAUCCAAGGAAACCAUCAUCCAUCAUCCAUCAUCACCAGCAGAUGNNNNNAUUGCUGGCAGUGCUCAACCCAAUAAAACUCUACAAUUUAUAUUUUGCCUGGUUUACAGGAGGCAAGAGAGAUCCGGUUAUGAGUCUGAGAUAGGUUUGGCUUUGAAGAACUUGGCAACUGCCUGGUAGAGAUUUUCUUCCUCAAAAGGCUUUGACACGUAUCCAUCCAUCCCGCAUUUUAGGCACUCAUCAUAUGUGGCAUGUAUCACGUCAGCAGUCAUGGCUAAAAUUGGCACAUGCCACUCACCCUUUUUAGCAGUUCCUUCUUCCACCAUGGAUUGACCAUUUAUCUGGUCAUUUGCCACGCUCUCCAUCUGCCGGAUACGGCGAGUUGCCUCAAACCCAUCCAUUUCUGGCAUUUGAAUAUCCAUGAAGCAUGCAUCAAAACUGUGUGGUAGUUGAAGCAAUUUUAGCGCUGUUUUGCCACUGUCGGCACACUCCACAUUAGCUCCAAACUUCUUCAGUGCACCUGCAGCAACUCUACGGUUUACCAUAUUGUCAUCAACCACCAGAAUUUUCUUGCCACAGAGUAGACUCCGGAGAAAAGAAGAUCCAUUCGGCACAUCUUUC